This is a long non-coding RNA of Branchiostoma floridae (Florida lancelet), 5989 nucleotides long. RefSeq lists it as uncharacterized. The transcript has 3 exons. NCBI's taxonomy places the organism in Eukaryota, Metazoa, Chordata, Leptocardii, Amphioxiformes, Branchiostomatidae. The record is from RefSeq and is a predicted model, not a curated record.
CCCAAUACAUUUCAUGCAGGCCUGAGGUCUACGAACUCUUGUUUUUGCAUGUGGUAAAUUCAAAUAAAGAAAUAAAGAAAUAAAGAGUUUACAUAUGGUUUUUGAAAUAUUUCUUGUUUAAUUUGUGAUAUACCACAACUCAGUUGUAGAAACUGAAGACUUCGACUUCAGAGCUGGGUGUCCUGUUGGAGCAAAUUAUACAACAUCCCAUUCUAUCUUCUUUGAAUAUUGUAUAUUCUACCAAAAUGACUUAGAACCAGUGUCAUUAACUUAAAAGAUUUAUCCAAAAACCAUAAAAUUCAACCUUAUAUACUUUAUAUGGUGCAUUCUAUCAAAUUAUUUUAUAGUUUUGAUUUUACUCGAUCAAUGUUACUUUACAAAGCGCGGGCCAUAGAAUAUAUACAAGCAAUGUUAGACAGGCUUCCAUGUAUGGUUAUAUAUAACAUCACCUCCCUGGUCCCGACAUCGAUGCCAGAAUAGUAACAUAGGAGCAACUACAAGCACUUUCAACAACAUUCCUCUUUUAUCUUUUCAGAGCUCUUGUGGGAGCUAAACAAGUUUGUAGGCUUGGAAAUGCUGAAAGUGCAUGUGGAGGGUUUCGCAAAAAUAAAUCUUUAUGCAGGGGCAGGUCGGGAAGCAGGUGGACACUGGAGGUCUUCACAUGAUCUUCUCUGGAAAUCCGAGCACCGGAACGACAACAGUAGCCAAAUCACUGACAGGGGAACAUCAUUCCGGGAUGAGUAACGCAAGGUACCAAGCGUCUGAAGCGAGCUCGACUACCCAGUGCUGAUGCUGACAGCAACGGCUACAGAGGCAAUAGUUGAUGAGAUAACAAAUGUGGCAAUGAUCCGACAUCCAAGUGGGAAGAGCUACCAGUAAGGAGCUGGGUUGGCAAGGGGCCAAUGAUGUAGUGAAGGCGAUGAUCUUCUGCAGGUAAAUUGACAAUCAUUAUAUUGUACCACAUAUUCUUCAAGUCUUGCACAUUCAUUACACGUAAUAUGCAUUCACAUUUUUUGUUGAAUAAAUUAUAGUUCUGCGUAAAUAUUACACAAAUAGUUCAAAAAUCCAUUGUUUUAACUAUCUACAGUACCAUCAACAGGACAUAUCAAGUAUGGGGAUGGCUCAUGGAUAGGCUGGGGACCUAUGCCUGGACUGCGGAGCACCUCACCAUCAGGAAUAGGGUAGUGGAUAUGUACCAUGGUCAGACUGUUGAUCAGUCAUAAAAAACAGGUAGAGGCCUUCACACAAACUGAUACCUGCCUGAGAUGUGUGGUAGAUUGCUUUCGAAUGGGUGUCCAGAUAAAUCAUGUCCGCUAUGUCAUACUUGAUUCACUGGGGACCAUCAUGUCCUAUUGGCAAGGAGUUGGAAGAUGUGCGUGUGAUGGGCAAGUUGGAAAUGUUCGCAUGUACGUGUUCCCACUUUUACUAAACACCAGAUUUAUCAAUCCAGACAUGGUCACUGGUUCACAACUGUGUGAGUACCAAGUAAUACACUAGGAAAUAUGUACUGGGGCAUUUGUUUGUGGAUGAACGCAGACCCACGACUCCUAGGUAUACUCUGCAAAAUCGUGCAAGCUAACAGGGAAGAAAUGGACACCACAUGAAAAGUAGCCUCAGAAGAUGGGAAUUUAAUCUGAGGACCUAGUGGACAUGAGAAACGUUUGUUCCCGGGCACUCCGAAAUAUUCCCCAUGAUCUUGACGAGGUGACCCUUAUCCAGUCGGCACGAAUUAGGCAUUGUAAGCACGUUGGCAUUCUGUUGGUGCCUGCAAAGGAAGUUGUUUCUCCAGCAAAUACAAAUGCAAGAAAGCUGGAAUACCAUUGUCGACAAAGUGCCACCAUAAUAAUCAGACAGAUUUAUGCGCACUGAAUCAACUCCACUUGGAUGUACCGACCAUAACAUGGUACAUACAAAUCGGAAAAGGAAAUUUGCCAAGAAAAAAAUCCACAAUUAUUAUACAACGCCAAUUUAAAAGGUUUAAUCAAGAUUAUUUCACACAAUAUAUAAUAAACUCUAUGUGACACAGUCUAGCGAUGACAAUGUAGAUGAAGCUCCAGACAGCUUUUUGGUCCUCUUUACUACAGUGGUACCGCGAUAGACCGGCAUGCUCAAGUCCGUAAGACAGCCGGUAAGUCAUAAUCCGAACAGUGGGUGAAUGACAAUCUGCUAAUUCUUAUGGAUGGAAGAGAUCAAGCAAGGCACAUGUCGCUGAUCUGGCGUUACAGUUGAGAGUUAUACGCGUGUAAGUAACGAUGUAGUGGGAUGAAAUAGGAAUAAAUGAGCAUAAAGGUGUACACAGUCUGAUUGUUUUUAAAGCAGAUUAGGUCAAAGCAUAUACGUCUACUACAGAUCACAAAACACAGCUAGUCUUCAAUGAGGGCACACUAUCUGAAAUAGCUGAGGGGCAAGGAGACAAAAAUCAAUGGCACACACUUGUAAUAAGAUGUUGCCUGCGUCAUUAUUAUGUACCCUCUAAGUAUGGUGUUUGUUUGAUAUUUUGUAAAGACUCCCUAGUGAAAAAUCUUUUCCUGCUUCAUCAAGUGGGAGGCACGUUUCGUCAGUACAGAUGAUAAAGGACUCAUUAAGAAUAUUAAGGAAACAUUGUCAUUAAGAAAAUAUGUUCAAAGACUGUCUGCGGAUGUUGUCCUGCGAAGACCUGGUGAAUUAAGCGGGGUCAUUUGCCCUUAAUAAAGGUUUCAUAUUAAACGUAUGUUUACACUGGAGUACAGCAGUAGGUAUGAGUCAUGAGCGCAUAAGAACCUUAGACGUUAGUGACUUUGACAAACCUUGUGGUUAAUUUAAGAUGUUCAACUGGUUUACGAAGUUAGAUGUACUUCAAUCUACAGAUUUGUAUCCGUACUGAAUCCGCUCAAUGAGUUAGAAAUGAGAAGCUGAAAAGCUGUGCCAUACAGCAUCGGCAUGUUACGAAGAGGGUCGUUGGAUAAACCACUCGCAGAUCAUUGAAGUGCAGUAAAGUGCACGUUCGAGAGCAGCAGAAAGCAUUUGGUGGCAGUGAAGCAUUUGAAUAAUCUACAGCGGAUUAUAAUACAGAACUAUUCGUCAAGAAGCUCGGCAUGAUCCGACUUGUUAGGCCGAGGAUAGGUAGUCGGGGGCAAGUGAACAAGGGACCAACAGUAUACAAGGGUAUCUUUUGAAGAUUUUAGGCGACUAAGUUUGGGCGUCAAAUGUUUUGGAAUGUUAGAGAUGAGAUCAGUCUGACUCGCCUUGCCACAUCUUUUCAAAGAGCCUCCCAACUACAUAACGCAAUAUUACUCGUGGGAGGGGACUUUAACCUGCCAAGUUGGGACUGGGCCACAACCACACUGAAGCCAGGCUCACCUCACCCCCGUCUUCAUCGGGACUUCCUCAAUCUGCUGUAUGACGAUGGCCUUGAACAAUUGGUUAAACAGCCAACGAGGGAGGAUAAUAUGUUAGAUCUACUAAUAACAAACUGCCCGGACAUGAUACCUCGAUUAGAACUUGUACCGGGCCUCUCAAGAUCAUUGUAUACCCUAUUGCGAAAUAAGUAUCAAGGUUAGAAGUUAGAAACAGACACAACGCCAAAUCCCGCUAUACGCAAAAGCAGAUUGGGAUAGUCUGAGAAAUGUAGCUACAGGCCUUACCAAGGACCUCCAUACCAAGGCUGAUACAAAAACAGAGGUACUAUGGAACAAAUUCAAAGGUCACAGUGCACAGGGAGGUCGUUGAUCGGUAGAAGCUAGGUCGUAAUCAAGGAUGGAAGGAGUCGUUCAUUAUUGAACGACUAUUUUACGACUCAUGCAACGACUCAAACACGUCCGCAGGCUAAAUCCAUCAUCCAUGGGGAAAAAUCAGGAAAGAGGUGUCUGUGUGCUUAAAGCACAGGACAUAUGAUGCAACCACAAGGAAGGAAAGGUAUUAACUUCAAUUGACAUGAGAAGUUGCCAUUUUAUUGCAAAAGCCAACAUGUAAUGUGUCAAUCUAAUUUCUUACAUCGAUACUUACAUAAUCAACUCAUCAUGUUUGUAGAAAAGCUGAAACAUCAAACGCCAAAUUAUUUUAACUUUUACAACUGGUAUAUUAAUUGUAUUUCUCUUGAAUUAUACAACUGAGGUUCUUACUUGCAUCAAUUAUAUGACUUUAUCCUGUCCUCCACCCAAAUAACAGACGUACACAACUUAUGUUAGGAAAGGCUUUAAUCGCAUAUUCAGAUAGUUUAUGCAAAUGAGGUCCUCAUAUGGAAAAUUAGAAGAACAACGCUCCCCAAAUAUAAUCUUGUUGAUGACAGUAAUUACACAUUUAACAUAUCAUUUCUGUAGAAGAAUUGCACAAGCAUCGGCUUCAACUGCAGCAAAUGCCCGUCUGUCCAUGCCAGAUGGCACAGUUCUUGGGAAGGCCCGGGAACGGGAGAGGCGUGGAAGCAUUGGUAAGCAAAAUGGUGUUAAUUUAGAACUUUCUUUGUAACACCACGUGCACUUUUAUUACAAUUUACAAACAUUAAUGUGAUGUCCUAAAUGAUAACGAUAUACUUCUGUUUCAGUCUCUCUCACCCUCCUCGAAGUGACCCCAGCAGGGAGGGAACACCUUGCGUCCGGGGACAGUGAACAGGUAAAAGUACUACGACAUUAGGAAAGACGGUACUCAGUUAAUACUGAUAUUUGUACAGAUACAGAAGGACAAUCGUCAAACUAAAUUGUGUGACUUAAGUUGACGGCAUGACAUUAGUCAACAACAUUUUCGAAACACAUUUACCGGUUCUUUAGUGUUUCCUGACCUCCCUCCUUCAGUGAACUUUAUUGCUUUUAAUAAAUGACCAUAUGUAAGUACAUGUGGAUACAAAGCCACGGUCAAUUACAUUUGUUACAACAGUUGCAACAUUUAACAGUGUCUCUUUUAUUUUCAGGUACCCCGAGACAUGACUGUCAACAACGCUAUAUACAACGUGCAGUUUUCCCCACUUGCGAGCACGUCUUCAUAAUUCUUUAUCAUCGUUUAUUUUGGUUUCAUUUUGUUACUAUAUUUUCUGUUGUGAUCUGUAACUGAAAGAUGGGCUUCUCAGUGAGUUUAUUAAUGUGAAGGGAGAAAAGAAACUGAUUUCUUGAAAUGUAAUAUUCUAUAUAUGAACAAUAAAAAUGCAACUAGAAAGUUUUUAUUACAGUUACAACUCUCUUUGUUCCGAGGACAGAUUUGACAGAUUUAGUCGUAAAUUAGGAGGGUUUAAGUCGUAACUGUGAAAUAUGGUCGUAAAUAGGUCUAAAAAAUCCGAUUUUCCGACUUAAAAAAGCCCGAUGUACGACUCGCCAACACAUUGUCCAAAAUUUACGUCCAAUACUCGACUGGUUUUAGACGCGUUGUCAAACACGACCUACGACCCAUUCUUGCCCUCUAUAACAAAGAUCAACGACCUCCCUGUGCACUGUGGAUUCACUCCUGACAGCAAUUAAGACAUAUGUGCCGCAUAAGUCAAUAAAGGUUAAGUCCAGCCAGUCAUCAACAGACGGAACAGGAAGUAUCUUAAGAUGAACUAAACUGGCUCACCAACACUAAAAGAAGAGGUUAAGGCCCUUCGCCGUACAAUACAAUACAAAGGCAGAUAAGACGUAGCUAUUGGAGCUACCUAAACUCAGUCUUUAAGGAAGAAACAACAACCCACCAGUCAGAUAAUAAAAGGUUUUGGUCUGGCCGAUUCUUCUAAAUCAAAACACUAGGAGAUCCCUUACGGCCAUCUGUCACAUUCAAGAUUGGGCCCUUCAUAGCAAAGGUCUACCAUAAGGAACUGGGGAAUGCUAAAAGGAAACAAACCACGCACUACAAAAUCUGUGUCAUUCUCAUCUCAUGAAGCCCUAUCUUUAUCUAGACAAGGACUGCAGUCGUGAUGAUAAACAUCACCAAGAAAAGACAAGAAUUUUACAAAAAGGGACCACGAUAACACCCUGUUUAAAAAGAAUUACACAAAAAUGGCAAGGGGCUAAAAUAAAGGCCCCUGUCUUUGAAACAGCAAAUCCGAGAA